Molecule: long non-coding RNA, 3254 nt
Filed under: Triticum aestivum (bread wheat)
Lineage: Eukaryota; Viridiplantae; Streptophyta; Magnoliopsida; Poales; Poaceae
Description: long non-coding RNA (TAES_LNC001596)
Source: RNAcentral
AGCAGGAUCUGGGUGGCCUCGGGCUUGCCGGCAUCUGCCGCGAGGUCACCCGAGUCCUCUGCGCCACCAUCUUCAAUUCCUCCUGCUUAGGUCCCAUGCUGCUCUCCCUCAUCUUGCCCUGCGCCAAUGACGUCCUUAGCUCCCGCGUCGACUCCAACCAAGACAGCCUCCUCCGCCUCGCCGCGUACUGGGCCGCCUUACUUCUCUUCAAGCUCCUCUACUUUGGUCUCUGCUACGUGUUCACGCUCUUCUGCACCUGCGCCUACGUGUUCCUAGUCGCUUCUCUCUAUUGCACCGGCGGCGAUUUCGCCGCCGCCAAUCACGGCCGCCACGCCCUCCCAGUCGACCCGUCCAGGCGGCUUAAUCGCACCUUCUUCUUCCUCGCAAUCCCUCUACUGAUCACAUUCUACGCCGGCGCCCAAGCCUGGAUCGCGCUCCAGCAGCUGGACGCUCCGGGCGUGGUCACCCUGCCGCUGCAGCUCAUGGGCGGGGCCGCGUGCCUUGCCGGCGCCGCGUACGCCGCCGUCGUCUGCCAGCUGGCCUGCGUGGUCUCCCUCCUCGAGGACGCCUGGCUUCUCACCGCCAUACGCAGGAGCCGCGCGCUCCUCGCCGGCAAGUUCUGGCCGGCGGCGGCCAUCUUCCUCACGCUCGACGCCUGCAUCGUGGCUCUGCUAAUGGCCUACACGGUUCUGGUGGUGGCGGUGCGCGACGCGCUGGGGCUGCGUCUCGCUUUCCUGCUGGCUGCGGGAGUUGGGAUGACAGUCGCUCUGUGGGCGGUGCUCGUCGUCACGCUGGUGGCGCAGCCGGUGGUGUACCUCGUCUGCAAGAACCACCACCACGAGGUCGUUGACAACGUCCACCUCAACUACGUCGGAGAGUACGAGCGGCUCGCCGUCGACGGCGACAAUGGCGUGGAGCUGCAGCCGGCGCCGCAGGUCACUACAACUGCCUAGUCCAUCCAGUUCAGUGAGUCCCCGGCCCCCAGACCCCAGCCGGCAGUACUACUACUCUAUUCAUUCUUGGAUUUGAGAGACAAUUAAAAGUACUACUCCUAUGUUUUGAGACAAUUAGUAAGUGCGUUAGCUACCUUCAUCACAGUUUGAAUGUAUUAGUCGUAUGAUGACUACAUCUCAUCCGAUUUUGGCACAUCAUGUGUGUUUGGUUCUUGUAUAUAUUUGUGUGACGCUGUGAGCUAGUAUAAUUGUUGAGCUUAUUAACUUUAGUAGUACUCUCUUUUAUUUACUCUGUGUAUUAGCUUCGAUUGGCGUUAAAUUUUACUAUAAGGUUUGAUCAAGUUUGUAGAAAUUGAUAUAAACAUUUAUAAUAAAAAAUCAUUAUGAUGUGAAAAUAUACUCAAUAAUGAAUCUAUAGUAUUGAUUUGGUGGUGUAUGUGCUAAUACAUUUUUCGACAAACCUGGUGAAAAAUUAUAAAUUUGACUAGACAAAGCUAACUAAUUACUCGGCUAGUAUAACCGUAUGUAGUUCAUAUUGAAAUCUUUGAAAAAACUUACAUUUAGGAAUGAAGGGAGUAUGUAUAUGCGAAAAAACGGAGGGAUACAUGCAUUUGACCCAUUUGUCACAUUUUCGUUUGUACGUGAAAUUUUAUACAUGAGUAGAAUACUCGGCUAGUUUUGGAAUUGCCGGUUAUUUUUAAUAUUCUUUAAAAUUCGUCUGUGGAUCCGAAAGAAAAAUAAAAUUCUGUGUCCAUGGCUAAACGGCAUGGACGUCGUUCGGCGGUGACACGAAACCUAAGCGCCCGCUAGUUGUCCGGUCCGAUAUUUGCGUGUCGACGCCUCCUCGAUCAUCAACCGCUUUGGUGGCCAUGGUGGCGUAUCCAAAGAAUAAUAUGCUCCUACCGCUAGCAGUUGACGCGUGCAGUAAAGUAGUAAAACGAUGAGAAGAUGAAAAGCGUGUUGUGCUGGUACAGAAACUAGCUCGACCAGUCUAGUGCUGGAAAAAGUCCAUUUUGAACCUUGAAUUUGUAAGGGUUCGGCGAAACGAAUUCUAAGUCGAAAUUCCGGUCAAUUGCACCCUGAACUAUGCAAUCCCGGUCUAAAUUAAACCCUAGCAAAAGUCAACCGGGAUUUGUCUAGCUAUUGGACGAAGGAGCGGCAUGUUGACCACUGUGUGUGCGCCGGUCCUUCGCGCUGGGUCAGCCCAUUUGUUUUUCUAUUUGCUAAAAAAAGUGUCUUUAUUUUUCUAUCGCACGCACAGGCGUAAAACGUUAACUCAGUAUUUGCAACAACAAAUGCGCUGGUACAACUAGCUGAGCGAGCGACCGAAUGCGUUCAUAUGGCAACACAAAACAAUAAGGGCCUGCUCGGUUCAAGGGAAAGGAAAGUGUAGGAGCGAGAAAGGGAAGGAGGUACAAAACAUCGGAAAGAAAAUUGAUGUACGUGCAUGCAGAGUUACCCUUCGGAACAAAGGAAGGGAAUCACACGAAAUCAGCUGACGUGCGUUCCAAAGAGUGAUGUUUAAAUGCAAAAAGAGGAGGAAAGUGGGGCCAAACUGUGCACAGAACAACCACACAUGUGUGCACAUGAAAGUUUUCUAAAAUUCACAAACAAUUUUGAAACGGAAACAUUUUUCAAACUCUUGAUUUUUUAUUGAAAACACAAACAUUUAUAGAAUUUUAUGAAAUAUAGGAAUAUUUUUUGAAACUCCAGAACAAAAUUAGAACACACAAACAUUUUUUAAAUCUGUGAAGAAUUUUUGAAACGGAACCAAAUUUUAAAAUCACAAACAUUUCUUUAAAAAUUUGUCAAUAAUAUGGGACAAAAACAUUCUUAACAAUAUUUUAAUCUGGUUCAUGAACAACUUUAUAUUAUUUUGAAAAUCUGGUUCACGAUUCUUAUUUGUGCGCUUAUUUUUUGCAAAUAUGCAACUUCACAAAUUAAUGAAAAAAUGAAAGAGGUGCGUGGAAAAUUAUUCGAACUCGCGGCAAAUAUAUGAUAUUAUUUUUGAAAAAAAUAUGAAUAGAUGAACCUUUUUGUAGUAUAUGCUGAACAAUUUCCGAAUAAGUAUUCAACAAUUGUGCGUUAUACCAGUUUUUAUUUUUGAAAUUCUAGUUCACAAGUUUCUUUUUUUCGUUUGUCAUUUCCUACUAAGAUGGCCACUGGUUUUUCCGAUCAAACAGCACCAGCAGGCUGGGCGCGAACUUUUUUGUUUUUAACGAAAAAAAUUAUACGGGACAGCCUAGCAGGGAGCAGGGUGUAGCGCCCUUGGUGAAAUUUUGUUUCUUAACGAAAAAAAAA